GCACUGCGGAGGAGUCUAACAAUAGGACGAAACGGCCGUCCAGUGC
Non-coding RNA from Schistosoma haematobium, 46 nucleotides. Lineage: Eukaryota; Metazoa; Platyhelminthes; Trematoda; Strigeidida; Schistosomatidae. The record is from Rfam.